GCCCGGUUGCUCGAAGGUUAAUUGAUGGGGUUAGCAUUAGCGAAGCUCUUGAUCGAAGCCCGAGUAAACGGCGGCCGUAACUAUAACGGUCCUAAGGUAGCGAAAUUCCUUGUCGGUUAAAUACCGACCUGCAUGAAUGGCGUAACGAGAUGGGAGCUGUCUCAAAGAGGGAUCCAGUGAAAUUGUAGUGGAGGUGAAAAUUCCUCCUACCCGCGGCAAGACGGAAAGACCCCGUGGACCUUUACUACAGCUUGACACUGCUAUUUGGAUAAGAAUGUGCAGGAUAGGUGGGAGGCUUUGAGUAUAUGACGCCAGUUGUAUAUGAGCCGUUGUUGAGAUACCACUCUUUCUUAUUUGGGUAGCUAACCAGCUUGAGUUAUCCUCAAGUGGGACAAUGUCUGGUGGGUAGUUUGACUGGGGCGGUCGCCUCCCAAAUAAUAACGGAGGCUUACAAAGGUUG
RNAcentral lists this ribosomal RNA (460 nucleotides) under Campylobacter lari. Its description in RNAcentral is "bacterial LSU rRNA". It matches the Rfam family "Bacterial large subunit ribosomal RNA", at positions 1861 to 2319 of the family's 2925-position model. Lineage: Bacteria; Pseudomonadati; Campylobacterota; Epsilonproteobacteria; Campylobacterales; Campylobacteraceae. The record is from RNAcentral.